Molecule: long non-coding RNA, 267 nt
Filed under: Phoenix dactylifera (date palm)
Lineage: Eukaryota; Viridiplantae; Streptophyta; Magnoliopsida; Arecales; Arecaceae
Description: long non-coding RNA (PDAC_LNC000517)
Source: RNAcentral
AGAUUACUUUUGGCGGAGGUAACACUUUGUUGCCACUAAAAGUAAACUCUAGGUGACUAGAAAGUUGAAAUUUUACUGUUUUCUCGAAGCAGUUAACAGUGGCUUGAUAUGCUGCCAACCAGUCCAUCCCAAGGAUCAUGUCGAAAUUCUUCAUCUCUAGGACUAGUAAAUCUACUUUCAUUUCUCUGCCUUCAAUGUUUAAGAUACAAUCUUUGCAGACAGAGUUAACUAAGAUUAUAUCUCCAUUAGGGAUGGAGACACACAGUU